RNAcentral lists this ribosomal RNA (2926 nucleotides) under Salmonella enterica. Its description in RNAcentral is "23S ribosomal RNA". It matches the Rfam family "Bacterial large subunit ribosomal RNA". Lineage: Bacteria; Pseudomonadati; Pseudomonadota; Gammaproteobacteria; Enterobacterales; Enterobacteriaceae. The record is from RNAcentral.
GGGUUGUGAGGUUAAGCGACCAAGCGUACACGGUGGAUGCCCUGGCAGUCAGAGGCGAUGAAGGACGUGCUAAUCUGCGAAAAGCGCCGGUAAGGUGAUAUGAACCGUUAUAACCGGCGAUGUCCGAAUGGGGAAACCCAGUGUGACUCGUCACACUAUCAUUAACUGAAUCCAUAGGUUAAUGAGGCGAACCGGGGGAACUGAAACAUCUAAGUACCCCGAGGAAAAGAAAUCAACCGAGAUUCCCCCAGUAGCGGCGAGCGAACGGGGAGCAGCCCAGAGCCUGAAUCAGCAUAUGUGUUAGUGGAAGCGUCUGGAAAGGCGCGCGAUACAGGGUGACAGCCCCGUACACAAAAGCGCAUAUGCUGUGAGCUCGAUGAGUAGGGCGGGACACGUGGUAUCCUGUCUGAAUAUGGGGGGACCAUCCUCCAAGGCUAAAUACUCCUGACUGACCGAUAGUGAACCAGUACCGUGAGGGAAAGGCGAAAAGAACCCCGGCGAGGGGAGUGAAACAGAACCUGAAACCGUGUACGUACAAGCAGUGGGAGCAUGAGUUUACUCAUGUGACUGCGUACCUUUUGUAUAAUGGGUCAGCGACUUAUAUUCUGUAGCAAGGUUAACCGUAUAGGGGAGCCGGAGGGAAACCGAGUCUUAACCGGGCGUUAAGUUGCAGGGUAUAGACCCGAAACCCGGUGAUCUAGCCAUGGGCAGGUUGAAGGUUGGGUAACACUAACUGGAGGACCGAACCGACUAAUGUUGAAAAAUUAGCGGAUGACCUGUGGCUGGGGGUGAAAGGCCAAUCAAACCGGGAGAUAGCUGGUUCUCCCCGAAAGCUAUUUAGGUAGCGCCUCGUGAAUUCAUCUCCGGGGGUAGAGCACUGUUUCGGCCAGGGGGCCAUCCCGGCUUACCAACCCGAUGCAAACUGCGAAUACCGGAGAAUGUUAUCACGGGAGACACACGGCGGGUGCUAACGUCCGUCGUGAAGAGGGAAACAACCCAGACCGCCAGCUAAGGUCCCAAAGUCAUGGUUAAGUGGGAAACGAUGUGGGAAGGCCCAGACAGCCAGGAUGUUGGCUUAGAAGCAGCCAUCAUUUAAAGAAAGCGUAAUAGCUCACUGGUCGAGUCGGCCUGCGCGGAAGAUGUAACGGGGCUAAACCAUGCACCGAAGCUGCGGCAGCGACACUAAGUGUUGUUGGGUAGGGGAGCGUUCUGUAAGCCUGCGAAGGUGGCCUGUGAGGGUUGCUGGAGGUAUCAGAAGUGCGAAUGCUGACAUAAGUAACGAUAAUGCGGGUGAAAAACCCGCACGCCGGAAGACCAAGGGUUCCUGUCCAACGUUAAUCGGGGCAGGGUGAGUCGACCCCUAAGGCGAGGCCGAAAGGCGUAGUCGAUGGGAAACGGGUUAAUAUUCCCGUACCUGGUGUUACUGCGAAGGGGGGACGGAGAAGGCUAUGUUGGCCGGGCGACGGUUGUCCCGGUUUAAGCGUGUAGGCUGGUUUUCCAGGCAAAUCCGGAAAAUCAAGGCUGAGGCGUGACGACGAGGCACUACGGUGCUGAAGCAACAAAUGCCCUGCUUCCAGGAAAAGCCUCUAAGCCUCAGGUAACAUCAGAUCGUACCCGAAACCGACACAGGUGGUCAGGUAGAGAAUACCAAGGCGCUUGAGAGAACCCGGGUGAAGGAACUAGGCAAAAUGGUGCCGUAACUUCGGGAGAAGGCACGCUGACACGUAGGUGAAGCGGUUUACCCGUGAAGCUGAAGUCAGUCGAAGAUACCAGCUGGCUGCAACUGUUUAUUAAAAACACAGCACUGUGCAAACACGAAAGUGGACGUAUACGGUGUGACGCCUGCCCGGUGCCGGAAGGUUAAUUGAUGGGGUCAGCGCAAGCGAAGCUCCUGAUCGAAGCCCCGGUAAACGGCGGCCGUAACUAUAACGGUCCUAAGGUAGCGAAAUUCCUUGUCGGGUAAGUUCCGACCUGCACGAAUGGCGUAAUGAUGGCCAGGCUGUCUCCACCCGGGACUCAGUGAAAUUGAACUCGCUGUGAAGAUGCAGUGUACCCGCGGCAAGACGGAAAGACCCCGUGAACCUUUACUAUAGCUUGACACUGAACACUGGUCCUUGAUGUGCAGGAUAGGUGGGAGGCUUUGAAGUGUGGACGCCAGUCUGCAUGGAGCCGUCCUUGAAAUACCACCCUUUAAUGGCUGGUGUUCUAACGUAGACCCGUGAACCGGGUUGCGGACAGUGUCUGGUGGGUAGUUUGACUGGGGCGGUCUCCUCCUAAAGCGUAACGGAGGAGCACGAAGGUUGGCUAAUCCUGGUCGGACAUCAGGAGGUUAGUGCAAUGGCAUAAGCCAGCUUGACUGCGAGCGUGACGGCGCGAGCAGGUGCGAAAGCAGGUCAUAGUGAUCCGGUGGUUCUGAAUGGAAGGGCCAUCGCUCAACGGAUAAAAGGUACUCCGGGGAUAACAGGCUGAUACCGCCCAAGAGUUCAUAUCGACGGCGGUGUUUGGCACCUCGAUGUCGGCUCAUCACAUCCUGGGGCUGAAGUAGGUCCCAAGGGUAUGGCUGUUCGCCAUUUAAAGUGGUACGCGAGCUGGGUUUAGAACGUCGUGAGACAGUUCGGUCCCUAUCUGCCGUGGGCGCUGGAGAACUGAGGGGGGCUGCUCCUAGUACGAGAGGACCGGAGUGGACGCAUCACUGGUGUUCGGGUUGUCAUGCCAAUGGCACUGCCCGGUAGCUAAAUGCGGAAGAGAUAAGUGCUGAAAGCAUCUAAGCACGAAACUUGCCCCGAGAUGAGUUCUCCCUGAGACUACAAGUCUCCUGAAGGAACGUUGAAGACGACGACGUUGAUAGGCCGGGUGUGUAAGCGCAGCGAUGCGUUGAGCUAACCGGUACUAAUGAACCGUGAGGCUUAACCUUACAACGCCGAAG